RNAcentral lists this ribosomal RNA (332 nucleotides) under uncultured Actinomycetes bacterium. RNAcentral describes it as "bacterial SSU rRNA". It matches the Rfam family "Bacterial small subunit ribosomal RNA", at positions 28 to 351 of the family's 1533-position model. Lineage: Bacteria; Bacillati; Actinomycetota; Actinomycetes. The record is from RNAcentral.
GAUGAACGCUGGCGGCGUGCCUAACACAUGCAAGUCGCACGAGGCCCCAUCGACGGGUAACCGUCGCGGGGUACUAGUGGCGAACGGGUGAGUAACACGUGAGGAACCUGCCCCGGAGUCCGGAACAGCCCAGGGAAACUUGGAUUAAUGCCGGAUACCCUCGAUCGGUCACAUGUCUGGUCGAGGAAAGGUCCGCCGCUCCGGGAUGGCCUCGCGGCCUAUCAGCUUGUUGGUGAGGUAACGGCUCACCAAGGCUACGACGGGUAGCUGGUCUGAGAGGACGAUCAGCCACACUGGGACUGAGACACGGCCCAGACUCCUACGGGUGGCUG